Molecule: ribosomal RNA, 234 nt
Filed under: uncultured Actinomycetales bacterium
Lineage: Bacteria; Bacillati; Actinomycetota; Actinomycetes; Actinomycetales
Description: partial 16S ribosomal RNA
Rfam family: Bacterial small subunit ribosomal RNA
Source: RNAcentral
UGGCGAACGGGUGAGUAACACGUGGGUGAUCUGCCAUGCACUUCGGGAUAAGCCUGGGAAACUGGGUCUAAUACCGGAUAGGACGAUGGUUUGGAUGCCAUUGUGGAAAGUUUUUCGGUGUGGGAUGAGCUCGCGGCCUAUCAGCUUGUUGGUGGGGUAAUGGCCUACCAAGGCGUCGACGGGUAGCCGGCCUGAGAGGGUGUACGGCCACAUUGGGACUGAGAUACGGCCCAG